GACGAACGCUGGCGGCGUGCUUAACACAUGCAAGUCGAACGGAAAGGCCCUGCUUUUGUGGGGUGCUCGAGUGGCGAACGGGUGAGUAACACGUGAGUAACCUGCCCUUGACUUUGGGAUAACUUCAGGAAACUGGGGCUAAUACCGGAUAGGAGCUCCUGCUGCAUGGUGGGGGUUGGAAAGUUUCGGCGGUUGGGGAUGGACUCGCGGCUUAUCAGCUUGUUGGCGGGGUAGUGGCUUACCAAGGCUUUGACGGGUAGCCGGCCUGAGAGGGUGACCGGCCACAUUGGGACUGAGAUACGGCCCAGACUCCUACGGGAGGCAGCAGUGGGGAAUAUUGCACAAUGGGCGGAAGCCUGAUGCAGCAACGCCGCGUGCGGGAUGACGGCCUUCGGGUUGUAAACCGCUUUCGCCUGUGACGAAGCGUGAGUGACGGUAAUGGGUAAGGAAGCACCGGCUAACUACGUG
Molecule: ribosomal RNA, 468 nt
Filed under: uncultured bacterium
Lineage: Bacteria
Description: partial 16S ribosomal RNA
Rfam family: Bacterial small subunit ribosomal RNA
Source: RNAcentral